GAUGAACGCUGGCGGCGUGCCUAAUACAUGCAAGUAGAACGCUGAAGGAAGGAGCUUGCUCUUUCCGGAUGAGUUGCGAACGGGUGAGUAACGCGUAGGUAACCUGCCUGGUAGCGGGGGAUAACUAUUGGAAACGAUAGCUAAUACCGCAUAACAGUAGAUGUUGCAUGAUAUCUACUUAAAGGGUGCAAUUGCACCACUACCAGAUGGACCUGCGUUGUAUUAGCCAGUUGGUGAGGUAACGGCUCACCAAGGCGACGAUACAUAGCCGACCUGAGAGGGUGAUCGGCCACACUGGGACUGAGACACGGCCCAGACUCCUACGGGAGGCAGCAGUAGGGAAUCUUCGGCAAUGGACGGAAGUCUGACCGAGCAACGCCGCGUGAGUGAAGAAGGUUUUCGGAUCGUAAAGCUCUGUUGUAAGAGAAGAACGAGUGUGAGAGUGGAAAGUUCACACUGUGACGGUAUCUUACCAGAAAGGGACGGCUAACUACGUG
Molecule: ribosomal RNA, 497 nt
Filed under: uncultured bacterium
Lineage: Bacteria
Description: partial 16S ribosomal RNA
Rfam family: Bacterial small subunit ribosomal RNA
Source: RNAcentral